This 1491-nucleotide ribosomal RNA is filed under the name fermentation metagenome. RNAcentral's name for it is "bacterial LSU rRNA". It matches the Rfam family "Bacterial large subunit ribosomal RNA", at positions 593 to 2087 of the family's 2925-position model. The record is from RNAcentral.
GUGACCGCGUGCUUUUUGUAGAACGGACCAGCGAGUUACGGUAUGUAGCAAGGUUAAUAUCUUAAGGAUAGGAGCCGUAGGGAAACCGAGUCUUAAUAGGGCGAAAGUUGCAUGCUGUAGACCCGAAACCGUGUGACCUACCCAUGUCCAGGGUGAAGCGUGAGUAAAAUCACGUGGAGGCCCGAACCGGUGUCUGUUGAAAAAGGCUCGGAUGAGGUGUGGGUAGCGGAGAAAUUCCAAUCGAACACGGAGAUAGCUGGUUCUCCUCGAAAUAGCUUUAGGGCUAGCGUCAAGUGAUGAAUAGUGGAGGUAGAGCACUGAAUAGGCUAGGGGGCGAUAAGCUUACCGAACCUUAUCAAACUCCGAAUGCCAUAUAUUUUAGCUUGGCAGUCAGACUGCGUGAGAUAAGUUUCGUAGUCAAAAGGGAAACAGCCCAGAUCAUCAGCUAAGGUCCCAAAGUGUAAGUUAAGUGGAAAAGGAUGUGGGAUUUCUAAGACAACUAGGAUGUUGGCUUAGAAGCAGCCACUCAUUUAAAGAGUGCGUAAUAGCUCACUAGUCGAGUGAUUGUGCGCCGAAAAUAACCGGGGCUAAAACUUACCACCGAAGCUAUGGCAAUGCGAAUGCAUUGGGUAGAGGAGCAUUGUGUACGAAGCGAAGCUAGAGCGGAAGCGAUAGUGGAUUGUACACAAGAGAGAAUGCUGGUAUGAGUAGCGAAAGUUAGGUGAGAAUCCUAACCAUCGAAAGUCUAAGGUUUCCUGAGGAAGGUUCGUCCGCUCAGGGUAAGUCGGGACCUAAGCCGAGGCCGAAAGGCGUAGGCGAUGGACAACUGGUGGAGAUUCCAGUACCACCUUUAAGCGUUUGAGAGAAGGAGUGACACAGGAGGAUAAGCUAACCGCUCGAAUGGAAGAGAGCGGCCAAGCGUCAAGUAGGGAAGCAUAGUAAAAUGCGUGCUUCUGUUAACUAUGAGGCGUGACGGGGACCGAAAAUAAGUAGGGAAGUAGCGGAUUUCACACUGUCGAGAAAAGCUUCUAUCGAGCAAGAAGGUGCCCGUACCGUAAACCGACACAGGUAGACGAGGAGAGAAUCCUAAGAUGAUCGGGAGAAGUGUUGUUAAGGAACUCGGCAAAAUAACCCCGUAACUUCGGGAGAAGGGGAGCCUACCCCACUAGAUGGGAAGGCUGCAGAGAAAUGGCCCAAGCGACUGUUUACCAAAAACACAGGUUUCUGCUAAAUCGAAAGAUGAAGUAUAGGAGCUGACGCCUGCCCGGUGCUGGAAGGUUAAGGGGACUUGUUAGCUGUAAAGCGAAGCAAUGAACUUAAGCCCCAGUAAACGGCGGCCGUAACUAUAACGGUCCUAAGGUAGCGAAAUUCCUUGUCAGGUAAGUUCUGACCCGCACGAAAGGCGUAACGAUUUGGGCACUGUCUCAACAACACACCCGGUGAAAUUGUAGUACUCGUGAAGAUGCGAGUUACCCGCGACAGGACGGAAAG